CGCCGGGGAACGGCUCGGCGGCGGACGGGCCGUCGUAGGGCGCCGGGUGGCCGGCCGGUUCGGUGUCCGGCUCCGGUGC
This 79-nucleotide transfer RNA is filed under the name Streptomyces cacaoi. Its description in RNAcentral is "tRNA-Pro". Lineage: Bacteria; Bacillati; Actinomycetota; Actinomycetes; Kitasatosporales; Streptomycetaceae. The record is from RNAcentral.